ACAAACUUGGUCAUUUAGAGGAAGUAAAAGUCGUAACAAGGUCUCCGUUGGUGAACCAGCGGAGGGAUCAUUACAAAACGAGUGCUUCGGCUCUCCAACCCAUUGUGAACAUACCUAUCGUUCCCUCGGCGGGCUCAGCGCGCGGCCGGCCUCCGGGCCACCGGGCGUCCGCCGGGGACAACCAAACCCGAAUUUUUCGUGUAUAUCUGAGGGGCGAAAGCCCGAAAACAAAAUGAAUCAAAACUUUCAACAACGGAUCUCUUGGCUCUGGCAUCGAUGAAGAACGCAGC
This 290-nucleotide unclassified non-coding RNA is filed under the name uncultured fungus. Its description in RNAcentral is "partial contains small subunit ribosomal RNA, internal transcribed spacer 1, and 5.8S ribosomal RNA". The stretch from base 1 to 73 matches the Rfam family "Eukaryotic small subunit ribosomal RNA", at positions 1759 to 1831 of the family's 1831-position model. Lineage: Eukaryota; Fungi. The record is from RNAcentral.